This is a long non-coding RNA of Dendrobium catenatum, 1126 nucleotides long. RefSeq lists it as uncharacterized. The record is from RefSeq and is a predicted model, not a curated record. The transcript is spliced from 4 exons. Lineage: Eukaryota; Viridiplantae; Streptophyta; Magnoliopsida; Asparagales; Orchidaceae.
UCUCUCUUUCUCUCUCUCUUCUUCCCUCAACAAUAUAAAGAGAUCGGGAUUGGGGUUGACAGGAAGAGACGAGGUCGAAGCAGGUAAUGGUUAGAUUUAAUUGUGGGGAUUUGGUUAAAUGGAGUUUGGUCGCUUGAUUGGGUUCAUGAUUGAUGUCGUGGACAGGAGAAUAGUCGGAGGAAGCGAAGAAGGGGAAGAUGGGGAGGUCAGUUUGGAGGCUUGAUCAUGUGAGCUACGGCUUUGCAAUGAGCUAGCUCCUAUGAUUGCCUCCGAUCCAACAAGAAAGGUUGGAAGACUUGCGGUUGAGGGCAUUCGAGAAAGGAGAUAUGUUCAUGGGUUUGGGUUCGGAGGAGGCAAAGAUGGACGUGUAGUGAUUUUGGUUGAGGAGAAAGAAGGAUUGUGGAGAGAUGCUUGUGUGCGGGAAAACAACAACCCCAUGAAGCUUCACUUUGCUUUGGUUUUAAUGACGAGGGUGGCUACGGAUUGCAAAAAAUUGAGCAGGAAUUAUGGAGAUGAGACUGGAGCAGCGCCGAUCUGUAUGAGGUAAGCAGAAUUUUUGGGAUUCUUGGCAGACCCUCAGAGGAAUUUCAGCAUAGGAAAUUCAUACUCCUGACUGCUGAAGACUUCAAAUCAGAUUAGAUUAAGGUCCCAUCAUGAGAAAAUCUUGGUACUUGAUAAUCUAGUUUGCUAUUUGGGGUGACUUGAUUUGUGCUUUGGCCACUUCGACAACUCCAAAUACCAAAUUAGUGAUCAUCCUCCUUUGGUUUGUCCUGAAAUGACUACUAUAAUCCAAGGGAGUUUGAACCAAAUUCAUGGGAAGAUACAAUGAAAGAUGAGGUGGACCAAAGCAAGUAUCCUCACAUGCCUUGGUAUGAUUUCCAGUGUGCUCUUUGGGGACCACCUUGUAGGGAUGUUGCAAGACACUUUGUUCAAUGCUAGAAUUAUGCAAAGUUUGAUUCACCUUCAAGGUUCUUCGAUUAAUUAUGUAUGUUAUUUUGGCACAGAUUAUAAUAGUUUUCUUAUUUGUAAAGAAACAAAGCUACAUGAGGAGACGAUUCCUCUGCUAAUCCCUCAUCAUCAUAUGGUUAUUCCUCAUUAUAUGGGACAAAGCAGAGAAGUUGGAUUC